RNAcentral lists this ribosomal RNA (253 nucleotides) under uncultured bacterium. Its description in RNAcentral is "partial 16S ribosomal RNA". It matches the Rfam family "Bacterial small subunit ribosomal RNA", at positions 524 to 776 of the family's 1533-position model. The record is from RNAcentral.
UACAGAGGGUGCAAGCGUUAAUCGGAAUUACUGGGCGUAAAGGGUGUGUAGGUGGCAAGAUAAGUUAGGUGUGAAAUCCUCGGGCUUAACCUGAGAAUUGCGCUUAAUACUGUCUGGCUAGAGUACUGCAGAGGGCAGUGGAAUUUCCAGUGUAGCGGUGAAAUGCGUAGAUAUUGGAAGGAACAUCAGUGGCGAAGGCGACUGCCUGGAUAGAUACUGACACUGAGACACGAAAGCGUGGGUAGCAAACAGG